RNAcentral lists this ribosomal RNA (253 nucleotides) under uncultured bacterium. RNAcentral's name for it is "partial 16S ribosomal RNA". It matches the Rfam family "Bacterial small subunit ribosomal RNA", at positions 524 to 776 of the family's 1533-position model. The record is from RNAcentral.
UACGUAGGGGGCAAGCGUUGUCCGGAUUUAUUGGGCGUAAAGCGCGUGUAGGUGGCCAGGUAGGUCAGCUGUGAAAACUUGAGGCUCAACCUCAAGCUGUCGGUUGAAACCACUUGGCUAGAGUCCGGAAGAGGAGAGUGGAAUUCCUGGUGUAGCGGUGAAAUGCGCAGAUAUCAGGAAGAACACCAAUGGCGAAGGCAGCUCUCUGGGACGGUACUGACACUGAGACGCGAAAGCGUGGGGAGCGAACAGG